Felis catus (domestic cat) is the source of this 85-nucleotide transfer RNA. It matches the Rfam family "tRNA". From Rfam's summary of the family: Transfer RNA (tRNA) molecules are approximately 80 nucleotides in length. Their secondary structure includes four short double-helical elements and three loops (D, anti-codon, and T loops). Further hydrogen bonds mediate the characteristic L-shaped molecular structure. tRNAs have two regions of fundamental functional importance: the anti-codon, which is responsible for specific mRNA codon recognition, and the 3' end, to which the tRNAs corresponding amino acid is attached (by aminoacyl-tRNA synthetases). tRNAs cope with the degeneracy of the genetic code in two manners: having more than one tRNA (with a specific anti-codon) for a particular amino acid; and 'wobble' base-pairing, i.e. permitting non-standard base-pairing at the 3rd anti-codon position. NCBI's taxonomy places the organism in Eukaryota, Metazoa, Chordata, Mammalia, Carnivora, Felidae. The record is from Rfam.
GCCUGGGUGGCUCAGUUGGUUAAGCAUCUGACUUCAGCUCAGGUCAUGAUCUCUUGGUUCGUGAGUUCUAGUCCCACGUCGGGCU